UGUAGAGAUACUGAGACAACUAUGACAUCUCUAGAUCAAAUUAAAGCUUACCGUUUUCCAAACAAGUUAAAGAGGCGUUUGUAGACAAAG
Sinocyclocheilus rhinocerous is the source of this 90-nucleotide long non-coding RNA. RefSeq lists it as uncharacterized. The record is from RefSeq and is a predicted model, not a curated record. The transcript has 3 exons. NCBI's taxonomy places the organism in Eukaryota, Metazoa, Chordata, Actinopteri, Cypriniformes, Cyprinidae.